AACGAACGCUGGCGGCAGGCCUAACACAUGCAAGUCGAGCGCCCCGCCAGGGGAGCGGCGGACGGGUGAGUAACGCGUGGGAAUAUGCCCUUUGCUACGGAAUAGUCUCGGGAAACUGGGGGUAAUACCGUAUACGCCCUUUGGGGGAAAGAUUUAUCGGCGAAGGAUUAGCCCGCGUUGGAUUAGGUAGUUGGUGGGGUAAUGGCCUACCAAGCCGACGAUCCAUAGCUGGUUUGAGAGGAUGAUCAGCCACACUGGGACUGAGACACGGCCCAGACUCCUACGGGAGGCAGCAGUGGGGAAUCUUAGACAAUGGGGGCAACCCUGAUCUAGCCAUGCCGCGUGAGUGAUGAAGGCCUUAGGGUUGUAAAGCUCUUUCAGCUGGGAAGAUAAUGACGGUACCAGCAGAAGAAGCCCCGGCUAACCCCGUG
This 431-nucleotide ribosomal RNA is filed under the name uncultured bacterium. Its description in RNAcentral is "partial 16S ribosomal RNA". It matches the Rfam family "Bacterial small subunit ribosomal RNA", at positions 29 to 507 of the family's 1533-position model. The record is from RNAcentral.